RNAcentral lists this ribosomal RNA (525 nucleotides) under Fusarium circinatum. RNAcentral describes it as "eukaryotic LSU rRNA". The stretch from base 170 to 323 matches the Rfam family "5.8S ribosomal RNA". The record is from RNAcentral. Lineage: Eukaryota; Fungi; Ascomycota; Sordariomycetes; Hypocreales; Nectriaceae.
GAACCAGCGGAGGGAUCAUUACCGAGUUUACAACUCCCAAACCCCUGUGAACAUACCAAUUGUUGCCUCGGCGGAUCAGCCCGCUCCCGGUAAAACGGGACGGCCCGCCAGAGGACCCCUAAACUCUGUUUCUAUAUGUAACUUCUGAGUAAAACCAUAAAUAAAUCAAAACUUUCAACAACGGAUCUCUUGGUUCUGGCAUCGAUGAAGAACGCAGCAAAAUGCGAUAAGUAAUGUGAAUUGCAGAAUUCAGUGAAUCAUCGAAUCUUUGAACGCACAUUGCGCCCGCCAGUAUUCUGGCGGGCAUGCCUGUUCGAGCGUCAUUUCAACCCUCAAGCCCAGCUUGGUGUUGGGACUCGCGAGUUAAAUCGCGUUCCCCAAAUUGAUUGGCGGUCACGUCGAGCUUCCAUAGCGUAGUAGUAAAACCCUCGUUACUGGUAAUCGUCGCGGCCACGCCGUUAAACCCCAACUUCUGAAUGUUGACCUCGGAUCAGGUAGGAAUACCCGCUGAACUUAAGCAUAUCA